AUUCGCUCAGGAUCCAUCCCACCACCAUUAUCUUCAAUCAGAAGCAUUCUGCUCCCAUCUUUUUUGUUUUUGACCAUAUCAAUGUUCACAUAUGUUGCUCCGUUGGACACCUCAUCCAAUGAAUUGUCCAAGAGCUCAGCAAGAGCUCCAAGUACCCACUUGUGACUUGUGGCAUUGGAGUGUAGGAAUUUGGGAUGAACUCGGACAUGAUCUAUACCACCUGAUUUUAGUACUGAACUAGCAGAAGAAGACCCUUCA
Molecule: unclassified non-coding RNA, 258 nt
Filed under: Hevea brasiliensis (rubber tree)
Lineage: Eukaryota; Viridiplantae; Streptophyta; Magnoliopsida; Malpighiales; Euphorbiaceae
Source: RNAcentral